Molecule: long non-coding RNA, 1136 nt
Filed under: Phasianus colchicus (ring-necked pheasant)
Lineage: Eukaryota; Metazoa; Chordata; Aves; Galliformes; Phasianidae
Description: lncRNA (ENSPCLG00000013896.1)
Source: RNAcentral
GGUCAAUGCAGAUCAAUGGGGGGCAAUAGGGUCAAUGGGGAUCAAUGGGGUCAGGGGGGUUAUGGGGUCAGCAGACCCCUCUCAGCCCCCCAACCCUAUGGGAUAUUAUGGGAUGUCAGGCUCCCCUAUGGGGCCAUUGCCCACUGUCUUAUGGGAUAUUAUGGGAUGUGGGGACCCCAGGUGACCCCAUAACUCCGCCCAGCCCCUCGACCCUAUGGGAUAUUAUGGGAUGUCAGGUUCCUCUAUAGGGCUGGCGCUCACUGUCUUAUGGGAUAUUAUGGGAUGUCAGGCUGCCCUAUGGGGCCCCAUAACUCCUCCCAGCCCCUCGACCCUAUGGGAUAUUAUGGGAUGUCAGGCUGCCCUAUGGGGCCAACGCCCACUGUCUUAUGGGAUAUUAUGGGAUGUCAGGCCGCCCUAUGGGGCCGGUGCUCACUGUCUUAUGGGAUAUUAUGGGAUGUCAGGCCGCCCUAUGGGGCCGGCGCUCACUGUCUUAUGGGAUAUUAUGGGAUGUCAGGCUCCCCUACGGGGCCCCAUAACUCCUCCCAGCUCCUCGACCCUAUGGGAUAUUAUGGGAUGCCAGGCUCCCCUACGGGGCCAGCGCCCACUGUCUUAUGGGAUAUUAUGGGAUGUCAGGUUCCUCUAUAGGGCUGGCGCUCACUGUCUUAUGGGAUAUUAUGGGAUGUCAGGCUCCCCGAUGGGCCCCAUAACGCCUCCCAGCCUCUUGGCCCUAUGGGAUAUUAUGGGAUGCCAGGCUCCCCUGUGGGACCGGCGCUCACUGUCUUACAGGAUAUUAUGGGAUGCCAGGCUCCCCUACGGGGCCGGCGCUCACCGGCACCGCGGCCCCCCGACCCGAUGGGAUAUUAUGGGAUGUCAGGCUGGCACUCACUGGCACUGCGGCCCGGCUGUGGACACCCUGCAGUCCCCGUUGUUGCAGUCGAUGGUGUGGGGGGUGUUUGGGGCGCAGGCGGUGACGCAGCGAACGGUGGAACCCGAGGUGACGGCGUAGUAAUAGGGCUGGAAGCCAGCGGGGGCGCGGGACGAGCAGACGUCUGGGGGGAUUUAUGGGGUUAAUGGGGUCAGAGGGGGUUAUGGGGUCAGAGGGUUAUGGGGUCAGAGAGGUUAUGGGGUUGUGGGGU